This 439-nucleotide ribosomal RNA is filed under the name uncultured bacterium. Its description in RNAcentral is "partial 16S ribosomal RNA". It matches the Rfam family "Bacterial small subunit ribosomal RNA", at positions 339 to 795 of the family's 1533-position model. The record is from RNAcentral.
CUACGGGGGGCAGCAGUGGGGAAUAUUGGACAAUGGGGGCAACCCUGAUCCAGCCAUGCCGCGUGAAUGAAGAAGGCCUUCGGGUUGUAAAGUUCUUUUAAUAGUGAAGAUAAUGACGGUAGCUAUAGAAAAAGUACCGGCUAACUCCGUGCCAGCAGCCGCGGUAAUACGGAGGGUACGAGCGUUGUUCGGAUUUACUGGGCGUAAAGGGUGCGUAGGCGGAUAUUAAGGUCAGAUGUGAAAGCCCAGGGCUCAACCCUGGAACUGCAUUUGAAACCGGAUAUCUAGAGUGUGAUAGAGGAUGAUGGAAUUUCUAGUGUAGCAGUGAAAUGCGUAGAUAUUAGAAGGAACACCAGAGGCGAAGGCGAUCAUCUGGGUCACAACUGACGCCGAGGCACGAAAGUGUGGGUAGCAAACAGGAUUAGAUACCCUAGUAGUC